Molecule: long non-coding RNA, 214 nt
Filed under: Elaeis guineensis (African oil palm)
Lineage: Eukaryota; Viridiplantae; Streptophyta; Magnoliopsida; Arecales; Arecaceae
Description: long non-coding RNA (EGUI_LNC012525)
Source: RNAcentral
CUGGGAGACCACAUGAGUAAUGGCAGAACACAUUGCCGCUUUAGAGGUCAAGUUUUUCUAGGUCCUUGCCUUCACCGAUGAUGACAUCGACAGGACUUUUGUGAGGUGGAAGGCUAUGAUCAUUGGUAAGAUUUUAUGAAAGGGUUUUCUCCUUGAUUUUAUGCAAAAGGAGCUCAGAGCUAGAUGGAAUGUGGAAAGCGACUUUCAUGUUUAG